GUUAGGUCCUUAUAUAGGGAUAAUUAAGCUAGGAGGGGGGGUUGAAUAGCUUAAUCACCAGUUUAAAAACUUUAUGGCGUUUUAAAAAGUUUAUCCCCUUUUUAAAAGCUUGUAUCUAGAGUAAUGGCAGUUGUAAAUGCGGAAGCAAAGAGCAAAGAAAGAAAAAUACCACACGAGGGAUUUUAUCCUGGUUCGCGGUGGCUAACUCAACCGAUGGAGUCCACUCACCCCUAGUCCAGUCCCCGAGCUCCUCCCCGGACUCGAGAUUUUCUCUACUAAAAAGAUACUCCUUUAAAGUAGGCGGAGAAGCCUUUACAAAUAUAUAUCUUGGAGCGUAACUUCCCGUUACCCCCUCACUAUAAAUGUAAAAACACCUACAAAGCUUGUCUUGGAACGUAACUCCCCGUUACUUCCUCAAAGUCGAUGUAGAACCUUGUGUAGUCUUUGUACUUCUACACCUUUUGCCGGUCUCGGGUCUUAGGUGUUAGAUCUCGGGUCUUUCCUCUUCUUCACGGUGCAAUGACUAUUAACUCCCCGUCAAUACGUC
This 547-nucleotide long non-coding RNA is filed under the name Daucus carota (carrot). RNAcentral describes it as "long non-coding RNA (DCAR_LNC007225)". Lineage: Eukaryota; Viridiplantae; Streptophyta; Magnoliopsida; Apiales; Apiaceae. The record is from RNAcentral.